This 289-nucleotide ribosomal RNA is filed under the name uncultured bacterium. RNAcentral describes it as "partial 16S ribosomal RNA". It matches the Rfam family "Bacterial small subunit ribosomal RNA", at positions 335 to 641 of the family's 1533-position model. The record is from RNAcentral.
UCUCCUACGGGAGGCAGCAGUGGGGAAUAUUGGACAAUGGGGGGAACCCUGAUCCAGCGACGCCGCGUGAGUGAAGAAGUAUUUCGGUAUGUAAAGCUCUGUCAGCAGGGAAGAAAAUGACGGUACCUGACUAAGAAGCCCCGGCUAACUACGUGCCGGCAGCCGCGGUAAUACGUAGGGGGCAAGCGUUAUCCGGAUUUACUGGGUGUAAAGGGAGCGUAGACGGGGCAGCAAGUCUGAUGUGAAAGGCCGGGGCCCAACCCCGGGACUGCAUGGGAAGCUGUGGACA